GUGCUCGCUUUGGCAGCACAUAUACUAAAAUUGGAACGAUACAGAGAAAAUUAGCUGGCCCCUGUGCAAGGAUGACAAAUUCGUGAAGCAUUAAAAAAAAAAUCUU
Molecule: small nuclear RNA, 106 nt
Organism: Nannospalax galili (Upper Galilee mountains blind mole rat)
Lineage: Eukaryota; Metazoa; Chordata; Mammalia; Rodentia; Spalacidae
Source: Ensembl